GGCUCUGUGGUGUAGUGGUAGCAUACUUGCUUUGGGUUAUCCAUUCAGGUGCUUGCAAGUGGUCCCAGGUUCGAGCCCUGGCUGAGCCC
Non-coding RNA from Immersiella caudata, 89 nucleotides. The record is from the annotation of a GenBank genome assembly. Lineage: Eukaryota; Fungi; Ascomycota; Sordariomycetes; Sordariales; Lasiosphaeriaceae.